CAUCUUUCGGAAUGCAGCCAACUUCAACCCGUCGCCGAUCAACGCCAAUCGAGACAGAAAAGAGAAUACUGGAGCAAGUGUCGAAGAAAUUCAGGAAAGGUGUUUUUUUCACGAUACGAAGAGGUCGAAGCCAUUUCCAUUGAGUCAUCCACGUGUAUCUUCUUAUGCAACACAUCGUUCAUUUGACAGCUUCCUAUCGAUUACAACAAAUGUCACAUGCAUUUUUUGUGAGAUGUCCUAGAAGUGAAGCACUUCUGUUGGACAUUCUAAAACCCACACGAGGCAAGUUAACAGCUGCAAGCCACCUAUCAACCCGAUUAAAUAGGCGACAUACCGGCUCACAGAUUGCAGGAAUAUGUUAGCCAGUAUCCAGCAGGCAAAGGCGGUCCUGCGAAUCAUCGAGAAUUUUCAAAAUAUCUUUGUCGUGAUAUUCACCGAUCUCAGUCCUAUCUUAACUGCCAUUUGAGCCUCGAUCUCUUGGCCUACGCCAGCUCGAUAAGGUGUCUUGCUCUUGGUGCUUCCGUAUUCCCAUUCCUGACCAAAGUUCUCUACUGCAAGUUAAUAUUCAAC
Long non-coding RNA from Cataglyphis hispanica, 570 nucleotides. RefSeq lists it as uncharacterized. The transcript is spliced from 4 exons. Lineage: Eukaryota; Metazoa; Arthropoda; Insecta; Hymenoptera; Formicidae. The record is from RefSeq and is a predicted model, not a curated record.